RNAcentral lists this microRNA precursor (204 nucleotides) under Oryza rufipogon (brownbeard rice). Its description in RNAcentral is "MIR812 microRNA precursor family". It matches the Rfam family "MIR812 microRNA precursor family". Lineage: Eukaryota; Viridiplantae; Streptophyta; Magnoliopsida; Poales; Poaceae. The record is from Rfam by way of RNAcentral.
AAAAAGACAAACCCUAGUUUCCGUGUUCAACAUUUGACCGUCCGUCUUAUUUAAAAAAAUUAUGAAAAAAAUUAAAAAGACAAGUCACGCAUAAAAUAUUAUCAUGUUUUAUCAUCUAGCAACAAUGAAAAUACGAAUUACAAAAAAUUUUCAUAUAAGACGGACAAUCAAAGUUGGACACGGAAACCCAUGGUUUAUCUUUUU